RNAcentral lists this transfer RNA (64 nucleotides) under Formosatettix qinlingensis. RNAcentral's name for it is "tRNA-Leu". Lineage: Eukaryota; Metazoa; Arthropoda; Insecta; Orthoptera; Tetrigidae. The record is from RNAcentral.
UCUAAUAUGGCAGAAUAGUGCAAUGAACUUAAGAUUCAAAUAUAAAGAAUUUCUUUUAUUAGAA